Molecule: long non-coding RNA, 1279 nt
Organism: Lycium ferocissimum
Lineage: Eukaryota; Viridiplantae; Streptophyta; Magnoliopsida; Solanales; Solanaceae
Exons: 3
Source: RefSeq, a predicted model, not a curated record
AGAGCUUUGAGAACUUUCUUAAACUAGCCUCAUGUAAUUGAUCAUUUGAAAAACCGUAAUUGUAUUGCUUCAAGGAAAUUAGUUGUUUCUUCGUGAGUUAUCUCUACAAGGAUUUAACUUUAUUAGCCGAUUCUAAACAUAUUUGAGCUUAUGGCCUGGUGUAAUUGUGAUUCUAAUCUAUUAUCAAGGUAUUGUAGACUUUGCACAUCAAUCCAAGUAGCAGUCAUUGUGGCGAAGGUUGCUCUGCACUAGAAAUAUGUUAGCAAACAAUGAUAAUUGAAAUUAACUUUCUAAAACUUGGAUUUGUAGACAUUAGGUUGUUUGAGUUACUUCUGAAAGAUAUUUUUUAAUUUAGCAAUUCUUAUCCCAUAGCUAUUUCAGGCUUUCGAAUUUGGGCAUUGUGUGGAAAUUUGUUUCCGCUCCACAGAAAUUCAUUCCUCUUUCCUUUUCGUUUCCAAUUUUGAAAAUUUUGAACACUUGAAAGUCUCUAAUAGUUAGUGCGUGUUUUUAGUAUACCUAAAAAUGGUGACAUCGAGGGGUCAAAUGGAGAAGAUGAAGCUACAUCCGUAUCACAUGAACACUGAUCUCAUGCGAGUCACACAGUCUGAUACUCUUUGUAAAGUGUCUCUCACUUGAAUUUUCCUUAUUUUAUUGAUAUUUUUGAGUUUAUUUUUUUGCUCUAUAUCAUCCUACUUACACACUGAUACCUGUUAUGUUUGGAUUUGCAGUUUGAUGUUUCCCACUUUACGUGGAAGGGAGGCCAUCCAUUUGAAGUGAUGCACUUGGCCCUCACUGGAGUAGUACAAUUUUCCUUCCUACCUCCCGCAACAAGACUUAAUAAAGCUAGAAAAUACGUAGUCCUUAAGAAUAAGUCAUGAAUCGAAGUGUACGUAUCUGGACAAUGAGGAUUCACAACUAUUGUGGCUGGUGUAGCGGUAAUGAUACUACCAAGUGGCUAAGGUAGGGUGAAAGAUGGUCUACCGAAGCUUGGAGGAAAAAGAUAUCUUAUACUGAAGCUUUGAAAUAGUCCUUACACUUAAAACUGGAUAUUCAUUAUCUUUUAGAUGAAGCUUGGAGGAAAAAGAUAUCUUAUACCGAAGCUUUGAAUUAGUCCUUACACUAAAAAGUGGAUAUUCAUUAUCUUUCAACUAUUUGGUAAAGUUUUGCCUCUCAAUGCAUGAAAGUAUAUCAAGUGUUAUUAUGUUUUGUACAUUUAAUUAGUGUGACAAUACACUUGAAUUGAGUGUGAGAAUAUUUUUCUCGGUUGAACUUUUUGGUA